AGCGGCGCACGGGUGAGUAACACGUAGGUCAUCUCCCCUUGAGUGGUGGAUAACCCUCCGAAAGGAGGACUAAUACAGCAUGAGACCACGAUCCCAUUGGGAUUGCGGUCAAAGCAGGCCACUACAUGUAAGCUUGCGCUCAAGGAUGAGCCUGCGGCCCAUCAGCUAGUUGGCGAGGUAACGGCUCACCAAGGCAUAGACGGGUAGCUGGUCUGAGAGGAUGAGCAGCCACACUGGAACUGAAACACGGUCCAGACUCCUACGGGAGGCAGCAGUAGGGAAUCUUGCGCAAUGGACGAAAGUCUGACGCAGCGACGCCGCGUGAGCGAUGAAGGCCUUCGGGUCGUAAAGCUCUGUGGGGAGAGACGAAUAAGGUAUGGCUAACAUCCAUGCCGAUGACGGUAUCUCCUUAGCAAGCACCGGCUAACUCUGUGCCAGCAGCCGCGGUAA
This 450-nucleotide ribosomal RNA is filed under the name uncultured delta proteobacterium. RNAcentral's name for it is "bacterial SSU rRNA". It matches the Rfam family "Bacterial small subunit ribosomal RNA", at positions 94 to 523 of the family's 1533-position model. The record is from RNAcentral. Lineage: Bacteria; Deltaproteobacteria.